This 460-nucleotide ribosomal RNA is filed under the name uncultured bacterium. RNAcentral describes it as "partial 16S ribosomal RNA". It matches the Rfam family "Bacterial small subunit ribosomal RNA", at positions 338 to 795 of the family's 1533-position model. The record is from RNAcentral.
CCUACGGGAGGCAGCAGUGAGGAAUAUUGGUCAAUGGACGAGAGUCUGAACCAGCCAAGUAGCGUGAAGGAUGACUGCCCUAUGGGUUGUAAACUUCUUUUAUAAAGGAAUAAAACGCGGCAUGUGUGCAUUUUUGCAUGUACUUUAUGAAUAAGGAUCGGCUAACUCCGUGCCAGCAGCCGCGGUAAUACGGAGGAUCCGAGCGUUAUCCGGAUUUAUUGGGUUUAAAGGGAGCGUAGUUGGGUUGUUAAGUCAGUUGUGAAAGUGUGCGGCUCAACCGUAAAAUUGCAAUUGAUACUGGCAGUCUUGAGUACGGUUGAGGUAGGCGGAAUUCGUGGUGUAGCGGUGAAAUGCGUAGAUAUCACGAAGAACCCCGAUUGCGAAGGCAGCUUACUAGACUGUGACUGACAUUGAUGCUCGAAAGUGUGGGUAUCAAACAGGAUUAGAUACCCGGGUAGUC